RNAcentral lists this ribosomal RNA (255 nucleotides) under uncultured bacterium. Its description in RNAcentral is "partial 16S ribosomal RNA". It matches the Rfam family "Bacterial small subunit ribosomal RNA", at positions 526 to 779 of the family's 1533-position model. The record is from RNAcentral.
CAGAGGGUGCAAGCGUUAAUCGGAAUUACUGGGCGUAAAGCGCGCGUAGGUGGUUUGUUAAGUUGAAUGUGAAAUCCCCGGGCUCAACCUGGGAACUGCAUCCAAAACUGGCAAGCUAGAGUAUGGUAGAGGGUAGUGGAAUUUCCUGUGUAGCGGUGAAAUGCGUAGAUAUAGGAAGGAACGCCAGUGGCGAAGGCGACUACCUGGACUGAUACUGACACUGAGGUGCGAAAGCGUGGGGGAGCAAACAGGAUU